This 484-nucleotide ribosomal RNA is filed under the name uncultured bacterium. Its description in RNAcentral is "partial 16S ribosomal RNA". It matches the Rfam family "Bacterial small subunit ribosomal RNA", at positions 899 to 1397 of the family's 1533-position model. The record is from RNAcentral.
ACUCAAAUGAAUUGACGGGGCCCCGCACAAGCAGCGGAGCGUGUGGAUUAAUUCGAUGCAACGCGAAGAACCUCACCUGGGCUUGACAUACCGGUGGUACCGAUCGGAAACGAGAGGGACCCGCGAGGGAGCCGGUACCGGUGCUGCAUGGCUGUCGUCAGCUCGUGCCGUGAGGUGUUGGGUUAAGUCCCGCAACGAGCGCAACCCCCGCCCCUAGUUGCCGUUUCUAGGGGGACUGCCGGGCGAACCCCGGAGGAAGGUGGGGACGACGUCAAGUCCGCAUGGCCCCUACGUCCAGGGCCUCACACACGCUACAAUCGCCGGGACAGCGGGACGCCACUCUGCGAAGAGGAGCCAACCCCCCAAAGCCGGCGCCAGUCCGGAUCGCAGGCUGCAACCCGCCUGCGUGAAGCCGGAGUUGCUAGUAACCGCGCGUCAGCACAGUGCGGUGAAUGCGUUCCCGGGGCUUGUACACACCGCCCGU